GGAGACCUCUUUUCCUUGGUCGCUUGGGUCGCGUCUUGAAACACACACGCGCCAGGAACAGAAACGCCGCGCUGCGGCAACCCGCGCUCAGAGCGCGUCUCUGUGCCCGCCCCGCGGGCGGCGGGGCUGGUCCCUGCGGCCCUUCGCUCCCAGGCGCUACACCCCUGCCUCAGUUUCCCCAUCUGCACCGGGAGGUGGCGUGCAUCAGGGCCCAGCCGCCGGCUGGAAUUCGGUCUUUGCGAGCGCCGCGCGCGGGAGGCGGCGGGGAGCGGGGCAGACAGGGCUGCCUGUGGGUCGUCUGUGUUUCCAAGACCGUAAACAAGUAAAGGAGAAAACAGACAAGAUCAUUUGAAAUAACACCAAGUGGUAACAUAAUAGAAGCACAGAUGGGAAAAUGGAGGCUGAAUCGCCUGUUGGAGGGAAAUGAGAAGUUGAAGGAGUUGAACGAUUUCCCCAUUUCCUCGAGCGUCCAGUACGUGGUGGAGACCAGAUUCGGACUGCAGACAUACUCUGGGUUCCCAGGAUUCCUGAAAUCCAAAGGUUCCAAGCUGGCUUCCAGGGCCUGUGCAAGCCUCUUGCUGUAACCCAAUGAGAAAGGAUCAUAUAUGAGGAAAGAGAAGCCCCGAGAGGUUAAGUGGCUUGCCCCAGGCCACACAGUGAGUAGGUGCAAGAUGGAGAUUCAAAUCCUCAUCCGUCAGAAUCCAGGGAGGUGCUGAGGCACCCACACAUGUGCAGCCCGGGACCAUUUAUUGGAAAUUACCCUGGAGCAGGGACAAGGCCCAUGCUUGGAAUGUAAGUACCAGAAGAGGUGAACAUAAGCCGUGAGCCUGCAGAUGCCCCCUCCUUCCUGUGAUCCUUUGGCCGGGGUAGCGGGCAUAUUUCAUUAAACUAAGCUGGCGCCAGAAA
Felis catus (domestic cat) is the source of this 906-nucleotide long non-coding RNA. RefSeq lists it as uncharacterized. Lineage: Eukaryota; Metazoa; Chordata; Mammalia; Carnivora; Felidae. The record is from RefSeq and is a predicted model, not a curated record. The transcript has 4 exons.